Molecule: ribosomal RNA, 465 nt
Filed under: uncultured bacterium
Lineage: Bacteria
Description: partial 16S ribosomal RNA
Rfam family: Bacterial small subunit ribosomal RNA
Source: RNAcentral
GACGAACGCUGGCGGCGUGCUUAACACAUGCAAGUCGUACGGUAAGGCCCUUCUGGGGGUCCAUGAGUGGCUGACGGGCGAGUAACUCGUGCGUAAGCUGCCUACAACUUUGGGAUAACUCUCGGAAACUGGUGCGAACACUGAAUAUGUGCUCCUGCUGCAUGCUGGGGGUUGGAUGGCUCGGGUGGUUGUGGAUGGAUUCGCGGCCUAGCUGCUUGUUGGUGGGGUAGUGGCCUACCAAGGCGGCGACGGGCAGCUGGCCUGAGAGGGUGACCGGCCGCAUUGGGACUGAGAUACGGCCCAGACUCCUACGGGAGGCAGCAGUGGGGAAGAUUGCACAAUGGGCGCAAGCCGGAUGCAGCAACGCCGCGUGCGGGAUGACGGCCUUCGGGUUGUAAACCGCUUUCAGCAGGGACGAAGCUUUUUGUGACGGUACCUGCAGAAGAAGCACCGGCUAACUACGUG